This 252-nucleotide ribosomal RNA is filed under the name uncultured bacterium. RNAcentral's name for it is "partial 16S ribosomal RNA". It matches the Rfam family "Bacterial small subunit ribosomal RNA", at positions 524 to 776 of the family's 1533-position model. The record is from RNAcentral.
UACUUAGGAGGCAAGCGUUGUCCGGAAUUAUUGGGCGUAAAGGGUACGCAGGCGGUUUAAGAAGUGAGUUGUGAAAGCGUGAGGCUCAACCUCAUACAGCAAUCCAAACUCUUAAACUUGAGUAGUGGAGAGGAAAGUGGAAUUCUUAGUGUAGCGGUGAAAUGCGUAGAUAUUAAGAGGAACACCAGUGGCGAAGGCGACUUUCUGGACACUAACUGACGCUGAGGUACGAAAGCGUGGGGAGCAAACAGG